This 378-nucleotide ribosomal RNA is filed under the name uncultured eukaryote. RNAcentral's name for it is "partial 18S ribosomal RNA". It matches the Rfam family "Eukaryotic small subunit ribosomal RNA", at positions 592 to 976 of the family's 1831-position model. The record is from RNAcentral.
CAAUAGCGUAUAUUAAAGUUGUUGCGGUUAAAAAGCUCGUAGUUGGAUUUCUGCUGAGAACGACCGGUCCGCCCUUUGGGUGUGUAUCUGGCUCUUUCUUGGCAUCUUCUUGGUGAACGUUGCUGCACUUGACUGUGUGGAGCGCUACCCAGGACUUUUACUUUGAGGAAAUUAGAGUGUUUCAAGCAGGCAUACGCCUUGAAUACAUUAGCAUGGAAUAAUAAGAUAGGACUUUGGUCUAUUUUGUUGGUUUGCAGACCGAAGUAAUGAUUAAUAGGGAUAGUUGGGGGUAUUUAUAUUCCGAUGUCAGAGGUGAAAUUCUUAGAUUUUCGGAAGAUAAACUUAUGCGAAAGCAUUUACCAAGGAUGUUUUCAUUAA